This 13400-nucleotide long non-coding RNA is filed under the name Phoenix dactylifera (date palm). RNAcentral's name for it is "long non-coding RNA (PDAC_LNC004107)". Lineage: Eukaryota; Viridiplantae; Streptophyta; Magnoliopsida; Arecales; Arecaceae. The record is from RNAcentral.
GACAGAACAAACCUCAUUUCUUUUAAAGUUCACCAUCGACUAUAAGCUUGAGAAAGUAAGAGCAACAUAUAAGUCAUACUAGGUACUUCCUAUUCCAAAAUUUAUUUGUAUUCACCGAACAAAGUAAUAACAAAAGUAGAGAAUAUUCCGUUCUGGUUUCAGGCUCUAAACUCUCCCACAGAAAAAAAGACAUGAAACUUUUCGAAGCAACCAAGGUCUCUGCAAUUCCUUUUAAAAAUACUCUGGGGUUUAUAUUCCUGUUCAAGCAAGCAUCCAGUCAAAAGAUCCUGCAACAGAACUAAGCCAUGCAUCACAAAUCUAUUGAACACCCAGCGAACAGAUCAGUUUGGAUUAAUAAGAGCAAAUAGAAGUAUAAAUAAAUAGCAAAGAGUAAGGGAAGCUCUUUCCAGUGUGACUGUGAAACAACUAAGAUGAACUAGAAAUAAGGUGGUAAGCUAGCUUUCACAGCAUCACCACCAUGCAGCUGAUCUGGCCUAAAAAUUAACAAGACCAGAUCAACUGCCUGAGAGCUACCCUCCGUUGCAAGAUAGUACAGGUGUCUAAUUAGUAUAACCAAUUUUAUGCAGGCCCAUCAAAAGAGUGUCAUUAACAAGUAUCUCACGCAGGCUCCACCUGAAAAUGGAAAAUGUUAGGCAUUGAGGUCUGCUUUAAUUAUGAAAAGCCACAUCAGAGCUGCUUCAGUUCCAUGUUCAGCCACUACAAUCCAAAUGCAAGCUAUAUGUCAUGGCAGCAGCCCAUUUUAGAGACAUAAUAGGUUACUUUGAAUGGCUAACAGACACAAGACAUUUAAAAAAGAAGGUGCAUAAUUUUCUGAGACCAGCCUUCAAGUCAAUCAUCAUUCUUAUGUAAGGAAGUUUGCUUGGUCUCUGAGUGCAACCUGCCCUUUUUUUCUUGCUGAAGGAGGCUCAUGCUUGUUUUUGUAACCAUCAUGCUUAACAACUCGACCAAGCUAUCCACGCAAACAUAAGUGCGAUUUAGCAAUUUCCAAAUGAACCAGAAAGCUUGCAUGAACUUGAUUCCAUCAGUUCAUAUAUAGCUUGCAUGAAACUGAUUCCACCAUUUACACCACCUAAUUCUCUUUGGGAAAAUUUGAAUAUAAGUCUACAUAAAAUAUCAUAUGGACUGAUCAUAAACACUGAUCUAACCAGCUAUACCGAAGUCUUGCUUCUUUGUUGCCUUCUGAGUGCCCAUAUCUCCCUAAGCCAAUGGAUCUCUAGUGUGGACAUUAGUGCCAGAUCGCCCAUCACUCGAGUCUACAGUCGCCGCAUGAGGAUGGCUCAGCCAGUUUUAUUGUGGUUGGAGUGAUUUUAUUUUAUUUGGGCUUAUUAGGGUAUUUUGUUAUUUGAUAGCCUAUAGGGCUUAUUUUGGUAUUUUGUUAUCUUUGAGGGUUUUUGUGAGAUUAAUUUCUUUUUGGGGUCUUUUUACAUUUUCUGAAUCUUAUAAAUGUGUUGGAUCGUACAUCGUUUAGGGUAUGCUAUGAAUAAAAAUUUUGAUUCCCCUUCUUUUAGCCUUGGUGUGAAACCCUAGGCUAGGGCUAGGUGCGAAGCCUAGAUCUCCUUCUCUCCUCCCUCCUCUUUCUUUCUUCUUACCCUGCUGUCCAGCAUCAGCAUUGGUAUCAGAGGCUUCUUUUGGGCCACUGUGGGCCGUGGGUUCAAGCUUCACACGGGGGAAAACAACAACAUAAAAAGAAAUCCUUCCUUCCUACGAACAGCCCCUGUUCCUCCCCCCCAUCCCCUCGUCCGACGCCCCAACGUCGUCGCGAGCUUUGCCGCCGAGAGCUUCAACCGCAUGCCCCACAAUCUGACGGAGGAGACCUCCCCGAGCCACCGGCCAACCGUGACCGUGCUCGAGCAAGGAGGACGCGCUCGGCCUCGGCCGCGUCCUUGUCACCACUGCCCAUGGCCGGAUUCGGAAGAGGAGCACCGCUGACCUCUCCGCCACCGCACCCCAUGCACUGAUUGCCGGUGAAGUCGGCAUAACCAUCAGCAACAACCUGCGAAGGAGAAGACCUAGCGGGUACGUAGCGGGUUAGCGAAGCGGGUCGCACCCGUUAACCCGAAUUCACUCGAUUAANNNNNNNNNNNNNNNNNNNNNNNNNNNNNNNNNNNNNNNNNNNNNNNNNNNNNNNNNNNNNNNNNNNNNNNNNNNNNNNNNNNNNNNNNNNNNNNNNNNNNNNNNNNNNNNNNNNNNNNNNNNNNNNNNNNNNNNNNNNNNNNNNNNNNNNNNNNNNNNNNNNNNNNNNNNNNNNNNNNNNNNNNNNNNNNNNNNNNNNNNNNNNNNNNNNNNNNNNNNNNNNNNNNNNNNNNNNNNNNNNNNNNNNNNNNNNNNNNNNNNNNNNNNNNNNNNNNNNNNNNNNNNNNNNNNNNNNNNNNNNNNNNNNNNNNNNNNNNNNNNNNNNNNNNNNNNNNNNNNNNNNNNNNNNNNNNNNNNNNNNNNNNNNNNNNNNNNNNNNNNNNNNNNNNNNNNNNNNNNNNNNNNNNNNNNNNNNNNNNNNNNNNNNNNNNNNNNNNNNNNNNNNNNNNNNNNNNNNNNNNNNNNNNNNNNNACCCAGGUUCCUUCUCACGGGCCCAAGUUAUCAGGCCCGCGCUCUUACGACCUAAUCCAUCCCCUUCCCCCUUCUUCAAUUUAAGGGCCCAACAGGUCCUUUCUUACACAGGCCCACACCACCCCCUCCUUUCGGGUCCACAGCCCAUCAGGCCUCCCACCCCACCUCCUAAUUUGGGGCCCAAUAGGCCCAUUAGGCCCUUUUCACACCGGCCCACAGCACCCCUUUCCCCCUUUAGUUUACAGGCCAAUCAGACCACACAAGAAGCUGAGACCAGGCCCGCCGAAUUGCAGUGAUCGGAUCUGAUUUGACCAGGCCUGCCUAGACCUGACCACGGUUCCGGAACCGCCGGUUCCGGUUCCACAAAAACCUAGAACCUUAACCGGAACCGAAAAUAGUCGGUUCGGUUCCGGAACCAGAACCGCCGGUUCUGGUUCCGAUUCCGAUUCUAGACGGUUCCGGUUCCGGUUCUAGACGGUUCCGGUUCCGGUUAUAAAAUUUUGAAAAAAAAUAGAUUGUGUAAUUAAAUUGGAAAAAAAAUUUAAAUACAAAUAAAUUGUGUAAUUAAUAAAAAAUGAUAAUUUGUGCCUCAUUUUAUUAUUUACUCAUCAAUAGAGGGGGGUCGGUAAUUUGGAUCCCAGAAUUUGGGUUUGGAACAUAUAUUUCCUUGCCUUCAUUUGAGCGGGAGGAAGACAUUUUUGAUAAUUGGAUUGGAAAAAAUGAAAAUAUGGGAAGGUUAUGAAGUGUGUAGAGAAUUGGAAUAGAUUGAAUAAUUAAGAGUAAAAAAUUGAGAGAGAGAGAUUGGAAGAUUGAGUCAUUGAGUGGUGUGGCGAAAAAAUUGAUUUGGAGAGAUAUAUAUAGUAUUGGGGAUAAUUUUCGUUUCCCAAAAUGCCCCUCAAACUAGCCAUUUUUAGUUGUUAGGAGGGGUAAAAUAAUCGUUUCCCAAAAUGCCCCUCAAACUAGCCGUUUUUUAGUUGUUAGGAGGGAUAAAAUAGUCGUUUUUUCGGUUCGAACCAGAACCGAACCGCCGGUUCCGGUCCCGUUCGGUUCCGGUUCCCGUUCGGUUCCGGUUCCGAUUCCGGUUUCGGUUCCGGUUUCGGUUCCGGUUCGGUUCCGAUUCCAUCAAACCUGGAAUCUUAACCGAACUGUAUUCCUCAAGAUUCCGGUUCGGUUAAGAACCGCGAGACAUGGUUCCGGUUCCGGUCCGGUUCCCCGGUUAGAACCGAACCGUGGUCAGGUCUAGGCCUGCCGAGUUGCUAUGAUCAAACCCAAUUUGGAGCCAUUUGACGAGCCUACUUGCUGCGACAGCAUCUCUGAUCGUCGCCCCAGCCCAAGUUAGAUUUCUUCUCUUAUUGGAAAAUCUAUUUAUUUGUUUAAAUUCAGCAUCGAUGAACUUUUGUGUGCUCUAUUGACUUAGCUUGCCGUGAAUUUAACACAUACACCCAAAUAACUUGAGAAAGUCUUACAGUGGCCCAUCUUUGCCAUUAAUUGUAGGGCUGCUUAAUCUUUGGAAGUCCUUCGAGGCUCUGUGAUACCCUGCAACACACAGAAUACUGGCACUACUUGACUGCAAUUACUUGCUUGCACUUAUUACAUGAUCCUCUGGUUGAUUUCAUUUGUUACGGAUUAGCUUUUCGUUUAUAUUGAGCAUGCACAUUGCGCUUUAGGCAUCAUUUUCAUGCAUUAGGUCUGCCUAGGAACCACUACUGUCUUUGCAUUGUAAGGCUACGCACAACUUUGUACACUCAUUAUAUGCACUUUCAUAGUGGUCGUAUUGUCUCCCAGCUCAAAUCCCAACUUGCCAUGGAUCUCAACAUUGAAGCCUUGCUAAGGGCUGUCCAAGACUUGACUACAGUAUCCACCCAGAUCAACGACGGAUUAGACUCCGUUGAGGCCUUCCUUCAGAGGAUUAUGGGAUCCAAAGAAAGUAGUGCCUCCAAUUUGGAGGGCCCAGAGGUCGAGGAUGAAACGUAAGACCAUCUAGAAUCGGCCCGAUAGGGCCACCUCGACACUAGUCCUUUUCCAGGCCAUCCUCAAGCCUACCCAUGUCACAGAGGACCAGGUCCAGUCCAUAAUGUUGAUAGGGAUUAUCGCCCCAAUAUAAAACCCAGAGUCUUGUGUCCAUGAUGAGGAGUAUGAUAAAGGACAUGAUACCCUAGCGUGCAUCCGUACUACACCUAUAUCAUUUGCACCUCCAAAAAGAGAGUCUAACUAGUCCACCAUGAGUGUAGUCAGAUGUGCCCUCACACACCCAAAGAAACUGAUGACUGGAGAAGAACCUCGAUGUCCCCUACUUAUAUUAAGUGCAGGGAGAAAGAUUGUAAGGUCAUCAUUAAUAGCGGGAGUUGCAUUAAUGCGAUAUCUUCUAACAUCGUCUCCUCCUUAGGUUUGACUUCUAUUUCCAUACCACAACCCUAUAAUAUUUCUUAGAUUGACACAUCUUCUAUUCACAUCAAAGAGAGAUGUCUUGUGCCCAUUCACAUCCUUUUUUACAAAGACACCAUAUGGUGUGACGUAAUCCCAAUGGAUGUGGGACACCUAAUUUUGGGGAGACCCUGGUUGUUCGACCUUGUUGUUAUAUACCAUCUACGGUCAAUCCAACUCUUGUUCCUUCGUGUUCGAGGGCAAAAAGAUUAAACUCAAUCCUUUGCGGCCCAAGGCACCUAACAAGAACAAGAAGAGUGAAGUGUCCAAGGACAAGAAUCUCCACAUCCUGCAUCUUGCUGAGUUUGAGAGGGAAAUGAUCAAUGAAUCUUUGAUGUACGCUCUACUUGUCAAAGAAAUUCACUCCCAUAGUCAGAGUGAAUUACCCGCCGACGUCCUCUCUUUUCUUGAGGAGUUUCAAGAAGUGUUCCCAGAAGACCUCUCGGAUCCUUUGCCACCUUUGCGUGACAUUCAGCACGCUAUCGAUUUGGUUCCGGGUGUGACUCUCCCUAACUUGCCCCAUUACCGAAUGAAUCCUUCUGUGCAUGCUGAACUACAACGACAGAUCAAUGAGCUCAUUCGCAAAGGGUUUAUUCGCGAAAGCUUAAGUCCUUGUGCUAUACCCGCACUCCUCACCCCAAAGAAAGAUAGCUCUUGGAGUAGAAUCACGGUCAAGUACUGUUUUUUCAUUCCUCAACUCAAUGAUAUGUUGGAUAUGAUGACAGGCGCUACGAUCAUUUCCAAGAUUGAUUUGAAAAAUUGCCACCAUCAUAUCCAAAUUUGCCUAGAGGAUGAAUGGAAAACUGCUUUCAAGACCAAAGAUGGCCUGUAUAAAUGGUUGAUCAUGCCUUUUGGCUUCUCGAAUGCUCCUAGUACUUUUAUGCCGGUGAUGACUCAAGUACUGCGACCUUUUAUGGGCAAAUUUUUAGUCGUGUACUUUGAUGACAUCCUCAUUUACAGCCAAUCAAAGGAGCAACACCUAGAUCAUUGGCGACAGGUAUGCACAACCCUGAGGAAUGAGCACCUAUAUGCCAACCUCAAGAAGUGUUCAUCCUUCACUUCUCAUGUCAACUUCUUGGGUUACAUUGUUUCCUCGGAGGCUUGGCUGCUGACCCUGAUAAAGUCACUGCAAUAGUAGAGUGGCCUGAGCCUAAAAUCCUCAGUGAGGUUCGCAGUUUUCAUAGGCUGGCUACUUUCUACCUUCAUUUCAUUAGGGAGUUUAGCACGCUUAUGUCCCCAAUCACUAAUUGCCUCAAAAAAGGCGACUUCUAUUGGACUAGUGCCAUUGCUAAAGCAUUUAGCAACAUCAAGAAGAAGAUGACUGAGAUGCCAGUUAUGCGCCUGCCCGACUUUAGCAAGGCCUUUGAAGUGGAGUAUGAUACAUCUGGCCUUGGUAUAGGUGGAGUGCCCAGCCAAGAAUGCCAUCCCGUAGCAUAUUUUAGUGAAAAACUAAAUGAGGCUAAGCAGAAAUAUUCCACCUAUGACAAGAAAUUCUGUCGUAGUCCAGGCCCUCCGGUAUUGGCGCCAUUGUCUGUUGCCCAAUGAAUUCGUCCUCUACUCUGAUCAUGAAGCUCUUUGUUACCUCAGUUCCCAAAAAAAACUAAACUCUAGGCAUGCCAAAUGGGUUGAGUUUCUCCAGGAAUACACUUUUGUCCUAAAGCACACAUCAGGUGCCUCAAACAUAGCUGCUGAUGCACUGAGUCAUCGAGUGACCCUGCUCUCGACCAUGUCUGUCAAUAUCACGGGCUUCGACAGACUCAAAGAGGACUACUUCUUGCCCUGAUUUUGGGGAACUCUACAAAGCCCUCGUUGAUGGACGAAGACCCUUGAUCGAUGGGUUUCAUCUUCAAGAUGGUUAUUUGUUUAAGGCAGCAAAGCUCUAUAUCCCACAAACAUCAGUAAGAGAUUUCUUCGUGUGGGAAGUACAUGUAGGUCGCCUUUCCGAGCAUUUCGGACGGGAUAAGUCCAUCGAAGAGGUGGAACGUCAAUUCUUCUGUCCUAGCCUGAAAAGGGAUGUUGCUAAAAUCAUUGGCCAAUGGCGAACUUGCCUAUUAGCCAAACACUGAAAACAGAACACUGGCCUAGAUACCCCUUUACUGGUACCAGAUCAUCCUUGGCAUGACAUUAGCUUGGACUUUGUGCUUAGUCUUCUCCAUAACUUCAGAAAACACGAUUCCAUUCUUGUAGUCGUGGACCAUUUUUUAAAAAUGGCCCACUUUAUCCCUUGUUCAACAACCUCUGAUGCCUCCAAAGUGGCCAAACUCUUUUUCCAUGAGAUUGUCAAACUCUAUGGCCUUCCAAACACCAUAGUGUCCGACCGAGAUGUCCGUUUCAUGAGUUACUUAUGGAAAACUUUGUGGCACAUAGUUGGUACAAAGCUCAAAUUUUUCACUGCUUAUCAUCCACAAACUGACGACCAAACCAAAGUGGUAAACCAAAGUCUUGGUAACCUCUUGCGUGUCUUGUGGGCAAACACACUCGUAAUUGAAAUUCAAUCCUUCCUAUAGCAUAGUUUGCAUACAAUAAUUCAAUCAACAAGUCUAUCGGCAUGAGUCCAUUUGAGGUCGUGUAUAGUUAUAAAGCCAGAAAACCUUUAGAUCUCUUACCCAUGUCCCCCUAUGUUAGGAUUUCUAAAUCUGUAUAGCCACAUUCAUCGAGGUCAACUUCUUUCCACCCGAGAGAGCUGGUGCGGACACUAGUGCCAGAUCGCCCGUCACUCGAGUCUACAGUCGCCGUAGGAGAAUGGUUCAGCCAGUUUCAUUGUGGUUGGAGUGAUUUUAUUUUGUUUGGGCUUAUUAGGGUAUUUGUUAUUUGAUAGCCUUUAGGGGUUAUUUUAGUAUUUUGUUAUCUUUAAGGGUCUUUGUGAGAUUAAUUUCUUUUUAGGGGCCUUUUUGCAUUUUCUGGAUCUUAUAAAUAUGUUGGACUGUACAUCGUUUAGGGUAUGUUAUGAAUAAAAAUUUUGAAUCCCUUUCUUUUAGCUUUGAUGUGAAACUCUAAGCUAGUACUAAGUGCGAAUCCUAGUUCUCCUUCUCUCCUCCCUCCUCACACUUUCUUCUCUCUUUCUUUUUUUACCCUGCUGUCCGGCAUCAAUCUCUUUGCUCAACAAUUCACUAUCUUCCAAAACCACUCCCUUGUCAAUCACAGCACUCAAGUCAGCCUUGUCGAACAAGAUCACAGGAAACUAUUUCUUAUUUGGUCACCAUACAGGAAACUAAGGAACACUAUUUAACAGUUUCACACUCGAUCUCAAAUAGGCUAUUCAUGUGGUAUGAUUCCCAAGUCUGCUGUGAGCAUUCAGCCGUGACCACAAAAAACUCCACUGCUUUCAAGCUUCCCAUUGACUAAUUCAUUACUGUGAACUAUAAAAAAUAAGAUCAAUAGCUAUCUUAAGUACUUUCUCCUUGAAGAUUCAUUUGCAUUCAACAAACAAAGUAAAAAGAAAAAAUAGAGAAGACUUCAUUCUGAUUUUACUAUACUCUCCCACAGGAGCAGGCAUGAAACCUUAUGAAGCUGCCAAAAUCUCAGCAGUUCCGUAUAAAUCCACUGGGCUCUGUUUUCCUGUCAAGCAAGCAUCCAUGUUGUUUCAUCAAGUCGUCCUGCGAUAGAACAACCAUCCUGCAAUAAAACUUGGACACAUUUUAUAAAUCCAACGAACAGGCUCUCAGCUUUCCAAGUUCAAUAUAAAAAGUAAACAUCUCGACUACUUUUUUAGAAACAUCUCAAAAAAAUGCAGUUAGCUCCUACCAAAAUCACACCACAAAACCAUGGAGAGGGUCUGAUGAUAAAUAAACAUUUUCCAAUGGACAGAAGCCAAUUGUAGUUACUACAAUUUCAAGCAAAUCAAUUUGGAUCAAUACAAGCAAAUAAGAGUCUAAAAAGUAGCAGAGAAUAAGGGAAAUAUGUUGGUCUUGCAGAAACAAUGAGGAGGUUUCAAUUGAUCCUAUCCAGGGCUCUGUCUAGCAUGGCUCUAAACGUCUAAGAUUACACUAGAAAAAAGGUAGGAAUGUUAACAGCAAGCCUGCCUUCAUAAUAUUACUACCAUGCAGCUGAUCUGACGUAAACAACUGAGACCAUGUCAGCUGCAUGAGGGUACAUCCAUUUCAAGAUAGUAGGGGUCUCUCAUUGGUAUACACAAUUUUAUGCAGGCCCAGACAAAGAUGAGUUACCUGCAUGCAUCUCAAAUGCAGGCUUCACCUGAAAAUGACAAAUGUCGGGCAUUGAGGUGCCCUAUAACCAUGAAAGGCACUUUGGAGCUGAUUCAGUCCAAUGUUUAACCAAACACUACUAGUGUGUAGUCCAAACGCAAGCACCAGACUACGGUAGAAACUCUUUUUAAACACGCAGAAAGCUUUUUUUCAUUUUUUCCCCCCAAAUAACUUUGUACCCACAAACUCCAGACAUNNNNNNNNNNNNNNNNNNNNGUAUACACAAUUUUAUGGAGGCCCAGACGAAGAUGAGUUACCUGCAUGUAUCUCAAAUGCAGGCUUCACCUGAAAAUGACAAAUGUCGGGCAUUGAGGUGCCCUAUAAUCAUGAAAGGCACUUUGGAGCUGAUUCAGUCCAAUGUUUAACCAAACACUACUAGUGUAGAGUCCAAACGCAAGCACCAGACUACGGUAGAAACCCUUUUUAAACACGCAGAAGCCUUUUUUCAUUUUUUUUCCCCAAAUAACUUUGUACCCACAAACUCCAGACAUGUAGAAAAGGAGGAGCAUCUUUUUCUAACUGUAGGCUAAGCAUCAACUAUCCAUCUUAUGGAGGGAACUCACUAGUUUCCCUAGUGCGCAUGGCCCUUUUUAGUUCAUAAGAAGUCUGCUUGCAUUGGUAACCAUCAUGCUUAACAGCUCAGCUGAGCCCUUCAUGCAAACUUUCACAUCCAACUACAGUUGGUAAUCUCCAAAUGAAUCAUAUUGCUCGCAUGAACUUGACUCCAUCAGUAUCACAUUUUUUCACAUAAUUCUCUUGGGGAAAAAAUUGAAUAUAAAUACCCAAGUAUCACAUUAAUUGAUUUAUGAAACCACGGAUCUCGCCAGCCAUACCAAAGGUCUUGCCUCUAUUUCUCUUAAAUCCUAAGUGCCUACACCUCCUUAAGCCAUUGGAUCUCUUUGCCCAUAACUUCCAUAAGCCANNNNNNNNNNNNNNNNNNNNNNNNNNGACACCCAGGCUAAACUCAACCACAAAAUCAUGGCCCUCAAAUUAACUCGAAGAAUCGCCAAGGCAAGCUUUAUUGAUCAACUACAUAGAAUGGAUAUUUCCCACGAGGUUUGCACCUACUUUCCUUAGGUUGUUACAUAGAGCACUAGCUCAACUCCAAGCCUUUCCCUCCUUUCUUUCUUUCGAAGCAAUCAAUGCGGCUAAGCAAACAAAGUAACCCUACCUAAGAGGGGCCCCACCAGACCUCUGAGGGUUGAGAGGUCAGUCAAAUCUUGAUCCGGUUGCUCCAGUUGAGCUAAUUGAGAGAAUGGCCUCAGCUGGCCUAAUAACUAGAAAAUUACUUCCUUGCAUUUGAUAAAUCGCAUCCUUCUCAGUCUCGUCCAACAAAAACACUAUCAAGACCUCAAUCACAGUGCACAAGGAGCCAAAGCAUACAUCACCAUGUGCUCACCUAUACGUAAUUGAACACCGGAAACGAUGCCCAUAGCUCUGGAUUGAGAGGUUAUUUCAUUACAUGAUCCAACCAUAUGGCAGCCAUGGGAUGCUAGAUCAAUCAUUCCACACCUUUGAGGAGAUGGAAGAUCAUGGCAUCCAUGCCACCACCAGACCACUAGAGGAGUUGAUUCGGACACGUAUACGGAACAAGAACAUCGAGAAAGUGAAUCAUGAAUUUCGCGAACUCCCACAAAUACAUGGAAACGGACUUGUUGCCACGUAUACCAUAUUGUGUAGGUGCAUAUGGCAGCCUAGGCUCGGCAGCAUCUGGAUGUGCUAGUUUGGAAGAGAUGUGUACAAAGGAGGGUUGCUUGCUUAUUGAAUGUGCAUAUAAUAUCCUGAUCCAUGGAUUUUUUCAAAUUAAGAUAUAGAUAAGAAAGUUAUGAGACUAAUCGCAAAGCAUGGCUGCCCACCAAUGGAGUUUGCACAUAAUCAAAGGAUUAAAAGAAUAUGCAAAAAUUAAUAAAAAUGGAUAGAAGCAAGAGCCGUGAUGGUUGAGGUUAAAAGGCAUAAAGCCCAAAAGUGACCUGUGUGUCCACUUGAAUCAUGGGUUCCGCAAGGUUGGAAACUUCAAAGAGGCUAAGAAGGUUACAGAUGAGAUUGCAAAGAAAGGGAAAGUUCGAAAAGGUAUAUUCAAUUGUUGUUCGGUGAAACAUCUUUUGAUGAGACAUCAAUGGGGAAGAGCAUGGUGAAUGUUUUGGCAUCUCAAAGAUUAUAAACAAUGAAGAACUUGCAAGAAUACUUUGAUCUACCAAUCAAACAGUGCCAGCACAAUGUUCAAAUCCUUGAAGAGUGUUUCAACAAUUGUUAUUGACUUUUCCUCUAAGUUAUAUCCAUAUCAUUCUUAAGUAAAGAUCUAUGAAGAUUUGGUUACUAUGUCAUUGUUUAGAGUCAUAAGGUUAAAAUUGAAUUGAUAACAAAAAGAAUGUUACUUUUAUUGCUUUCACAGUUAUGAUAUUGAUGUUUAAUUCUGCAUAAUUGUUUUUGGUGCUACUUUUUGAUGAGCCAUCUAGUGUUGUCGCAUAUUAUAUUUGCACAGCUCAAAGCACAAUAGCAAAAAGAUUUUUCAUAAAAUCUAAAGAGCAAAUUGCUAGAAACUUGGCGGCUUCCAUUUGGCAUCACUUAACAAUUUUCAGCUAUGAAAACAAAAUCGGUUUCUAUUAAAAAAAACUCGAAACUCAAAUCUUGUUUGGAAGUCAGUUGGGUUGUGGCAGUGGUAGUGGUGCGGUCACGGCCAGUGAGCAGCAGUGGUGCCGGAAGUGAUGGUGUUGGUGGCGGUGGGGUGAUAGGCAAGCGGUAGUGGGUGCUAGUGGGGUCCAACGGGAGUGGUGGCAAGGAUGGUGAAAGCAGGGGCAGCCCAAUGCAUUUGGAAGCCUAAGGCGAACUCACUAAGAAAGAUCUUUUUUUUAAAAAAACUAAAAAUUUUUAAUAAGUGCAAAAUACUCGGACCUAUCUCGCCGACCUGAACGGGUAACUAUUGAUCUUCCACAACCAUCCAGCUUAGUCAGCAUCGAGAUUGGGCUGGAUUUCAGCGGCAACAGUAUCCAACUAGAAAUUUUAAACAUGUCUCGAGGAUAUCAAAUUUGCAAUCCUAUUAGGUUCCAAAAAAUUUAACCUGAAUUCGAAUCGGGUAUACAAAGAUACUACUUUUUUUUUGCUAAAGCACAAAGAUACUACUUUGAUGUAGCCAUUAUACACAUGUGUGCAUGUACGUCCGAGUUACUCUUAGAGAACACUAAUACUAGGAAAUCUGCAGUACGAUAAGUUAGCCAUUAAACAGAGAAUAAUCUAUGUAUUAAAAUUAACGGAAGAGUGGACUAAGAGGUCAAAUUCAAUUAAGUAUAAACAACUGAAUCAUCUCGGUGUCACAUGAGAGAUGUCAGCCUGAUGACUAGGGAACGCAGGGACCAGAGGUGAGACAUCUUGCUGCAUCAUUGAUCUAUAAAAUUUAUAACCUAGCAACACCAAUCCAGAUUUUUAAUCCAAGUGGAAAAAUCAACUCGUUCACACAAUUUGCCAAACAGUUGGUGGACCACGAAAAGGCUCACGAUGUAAGAUCAAGUAAAGCCAAGCCAAGCCUCGGCCUGGCCACUGGACAGAUGAAUGGUUAUCACAAAAAGAGUUCGGAGAACGAGACAAGAAGAAAAAAAGGGCAUACCUUGCGAGUGGAAAUAAGGUCCGGGGAUGAGUGGCCUCGACUUCGGUGGAUUCGUCUUGUUCUCAGGCCUAACUAGAAACGACUACAGAUCAGCGGAUGGGAUUGGGAGCGGCCGAGGACUUGGGUAAGAGAUUGGAGAUGUGAUUUUGGCGGAAGGCUUCUGGCUCCUGGGACCCAGACGAGAAGACGCCGGACAGGCCCGAACUGCCCGCUGCCGAAGUGGGAAUGUGGGAUUUGGGAACGGCGAGUCGGCGAACAGAGGCGGUAAGAGAUGUCUUUGAUGAACAGUGAACUGAUCGAGGGUCUGGUUCCCCGGCUGCGGUAGCCCGUAGCCGCGGUACUCCUUGUAACCCCGGCCGGAGACGACCUGCUGGCUCGCCCCUGGGGCGAUGGGAAGCAGCCCUUGGGGCGAUGGGAAGCAGCCUCUUGCAGUGCGAUUGCGAUGGAAAGUAGCCGUGGCACUAUAGCAGCGAAGAAAAUUUAAGAUUUUACUGUAGCUCUUCCUUGAACCUAAGCGGUGGCCUUCCUUUGGGCCAGGGAUUAGGCGACCGCCUAGGUCGGGCCGGCCCUGGGUGAAAGAGGCAGCGGUGGUGGCAAUGGGCGG